UGGGCAUUGUGUUAGAUGAUCAAAUUUUGGUGAAACCCUGGAAAGGAACCAAAUAAUGAUGGAGAAGCAAUCUGUCACCAUUAUGGUGUGAUCUUUGGAUGAAAAGAUACUCCUGUUCACGCCUCAAUUGAAGUCAAUCUACUGAGCAGAGGAUAUUGUUCAGCAUAAUCUCCAGUUGAAAGCAUUCAGGGUGUAAAUGAAAUCCUAUUGGCAGGAAAGGUGGCAUCAAGAUGCCCAGAGCUCUGAAUUGAGAACAUGCAAAGGCUAAGGAGUGCACAGCCGAUGCAACUGUUGGGCAAGAUGGUUGGUGCUCUGGCAUUUGGGUUUGCAGAGUCAUCCCGCAGCCACCUUUGAUCAGAGCCUGCUUUUUCCUUCCAGUCAUUGAGGACUGUGGUGGUCUUGACGACUUAUGUGGGCCUAAAUAGAAGAAGGGGGAGCAUUCCUUUUUCUUCUCUUCCAAUAUGGCAGGUUUUACUUAAGAGGUGAUGAUCCAAGACGGUGAUGCCAGAAAUUGGCAGGUACAACAACUCUGUGACACAGAGUAUAAGGGAGUCUCCACAACAAAGAGAUAUAGCCAAAUGGAUCGUUUAACCCUGAGGCGGCAGUGGCACAUGCUUCCUUGAAGACCGGAUGAAACUCGGGGAAACCAGAAGUAAAACAUCAUAUAAUAAACAGAAAAAUUGUGCAAUCCUCUCGGAUUUUCUUUGAAAAAAACACGUCUAGAGAAGAGUAUGGCAUUUGGAGCCUGAAAGUCUGGGGGUUUGAAUUCUGGCUCUGCUAUUUACUAGCUAUGUGGCUGUGGACAACUUAACCUCCAGAAGCAUCAACUACCUCAUGUGGAAAAUGGAUACAUAAGCGGCACCUUGCAGAGGCGGCGCAGCGAAAGCCCUAGCAUAUACUUGGCACCCAGUGUGAAGCCCCAAUAUGAGAGUUAUCCUGGCUGUGGUCUCAGGGGUAUUGCUUUGAACAUAUAACCAAAGUUGCUGCCUUCUUCAAAACAACUCUAGAGUAAGCCCUUCGGAAUAAGCUAUGUUCACCAUGAGCCAUCUGGGUGGGAGGGUGUAUUUGGUGGGUGUGUGUCUAUGGAUAGGACAGCAACUGUAAAUGCACUUGGGAUGAAUAUAUCUGUUGGAAAUUGGGAUUCAGUAUUGAUUAAUGCUUUGACCUAAAGCCUCUACAAGUAUUUGCUUGUAAUUUACUUCUGUGGGAG
RNAcentral lists this long non-coding RNA (1210 nucleotides) under Equus caballus (horse). RNAcentral describes it as "lncRNA (ENSECAG00000048691.1)". Lineage: Eukaryota; Metazoa; Chordata; Mammalia; Perissodactyla; Equidae. The record is from RNAcentral.